GGGCGAGUGGCGGAACUGGCAGACGCGCUGGAUUUAGGUUCCAGUGCCGAAAGGUGUGCGGGUUCAAGUCCCGCCUCGCCCACCA
Molecule: transfer RNA, 85 nt
Filed under: Candidatus Hydrogenedentota bacterium
Lineage: Bacteria; Pseudomonadati; Candidatus Hydrogenedentota
Description: tRNA-Leu
Rfam family: tRNA
About the family: Transfer RNA (tRNA) molecules are approximately 80 nucleotides in length. Their secondary structure includes four short double-helical elements and three loops (D, anti-codon, and T loops). Further hydrogen bonds mediate the characteristic L-shaped molecular structure. tRNAs have two regions of fundamental functional importance: the anti-codon, which is responsible for specific mRNA codon recognition, and the 3' end, to which the tRNAs corresponding amino acid is attached (by aminoacyl-tRNA synthetases). tRNAs cope with the degeneracy of the genetic code in two manners: having more than one tRNA (with a specific anti-codon) for a particular amino acid; and 'wobble' base-pairing, i.e. permitting non-standard base-pairing at the 3rd anti-codon position.
Source: RNAcentral